Nerophis lumbriciformis (worm pipefish) is the source of this 722-nucleotide long non-coding RNA. RefSeq lists it as uncharacterized. NCBI's taxonomy places the organism in Eukaryota, Metazoa, Chordata, Actinopteri, Syngnathiformes, Syngnathidae. The record is from RefSeq and is a predicted model, not a curated record.
GUCAACAGAUGUUUGUUUUUUUUCCAUUUGGGUAAAAUCGCAGACUGACCCUGAUGUCGUCCAUGUUGGUGUUCUUUAACUUUUCCCUGAAGUGAGGGUCUUUCUCCAGGUACUCGAUGACUUCCCUGAGGUAGCGGUCAUAAUGCAGUCCGGUGUCCUGAGACGUGGACGAAAAGCGUCUUCCUGUUGGGGCUUCUCUUUGCUCUUGUCCACACUGAUGGGCACUGAGUGGAUGCACAGCCACAGACUGAGCAGAACCAGGGCACAGUGGGCCAGCGCUUUACCGCCCAGCAUCACCAUCUAGUUGAAUGAACAGUGAAUUUUUACACUCCAUCCAUCCAUCCAUCCAUCCAUCUUCUUCCGCUUAUCCGAGGUCGGGUCGCGGGGGCAGCAGCCUAAGCAGGGAAGCCCAGACUUCCCUCUCCCCAGCCACUUUGUCCAGCUCUUCCUGUGGGACUCCGAGGCGUUCCCAGGCCAGCCGGGAGACAUAGUCUUCCCAACGUGUCCUGGGUCUUCCCCGCAGCCUCCUACCGGUCGGACGUGCCCUAAACACCUCCCUAGGGAGGCGUUCGGGUGGCAUCCUGACCAGAUGCCCGAACCACCUCAUCUGGCUCCUCUCGAUGUGGAGGAGCAGUGGCUUUACUUUGAGCUCCCCCCGGAUGGCAGAGCUUCUCACCCUAUCUCUAAGGGAGAGCCCCGCCAAUUUUUACACUUUCAUUGAA